Molecule: ribosomal RNA, 459 nt
Filed under: uncultured bacterium
Lineage: Bacteria
Description: partial 16S ribosomal RNA
Rfam family: Bacterial small subunit ribosomal RNA
Source: RNAcentral
CCUACGGGGGGCUGCAGUGAGGAAUAUUGGUCAAUGGUCGGGAGACUGAACCAGCCAAGCCGCGUGAGGGAUGAAGGUACAGAGUAUCGUAAACCUCUUUUGUCAGGGAACAAAGGCGGGGACGUGUCCCCGGCUGAGUGUACCUGAAGAAAAAGCAUCGGCUAACUCCGUGCCAGCAGCCGCGGUAAUACGGAGGAUGCGAGCGUUAUCCGGAUUUAUUGGGUUUAAAGGGUGCGCAGGCGGGCGGUUAAGUCAGCGGUCAAAGCCCGGGGCUCAACCCCGGCCCGCCGUUGAAACUGGCAGUCUCGAGUUGGAGAGAAGUAUGCGGAAUGCGCGGUGUAGCGGUGAAAUGCAUAGAUAUCGCGCAGAACUCCGAUUGCGAAGGCAGCAUGCCGGCUCCACACUGACGCUGAGGCACGAAAGCGUGGGUAUCGAACAGGAUUAGAUACCCGAGUAGUC